GAGGAUCUAGCUCAGUGGCAGAGCGUGCGCUUAGCAUGCCCGAGGUCCUGGGUUCUAUCCCCAGUACCUUCA
Molecule: transfer RNA, 72 nt
Filed under: Camelus ferus (Wild Bactrian camel)
Lineage: Eukaryota; Metazoa; Chordata; Mammalia; Artiodactyla; Camelidae
Rfam family: tRNA
About the family: Transfer RNA (tRNA) molecules are approximately 80 nucleotides in length. Their secondary structure includes four short double-helical elements and three loops (D, anti-codon, and T loops). Further hydrogen bonds mediate the characteristic L-shaped molecular structure. tRNAs have two regions of fundamental functional importance: the anti-codon, which is responsible for specific mRNA codon recognition, and the 3' end, to which the tRNAs corresponding amino acid is attached (by aminoacyl-tRNA synthetases). tRNAs cope with the degeneracy of the genetic code in two manners: having more than one tRNA (with a specific anti-codon) for a particular amino acid; and 'wobble' base-pairing, i.e. permitting non-standard base-pairing at the 3rd anti-codon position.
Source: Rfam by way of RNAcentral